This is a long non-coding RNA of Zalophus californianus (California sea lion), 1300 nucleotides long. RefSeq lists it as uncharacterized. The record is from RefSeq and is a predicted model, not a curated record. The transcript has 3 exons. NCBI's taxonomy places the organism in Eukaryota, Metazoa, Chordata, Mammalia, Carnivora, Otariidae.
GAGCGCGGGCGGCCUCCCGGGAGCUCACCUUUCGGGCGGGCCCGGGGAAGUCGCGGGUGGGAGCGGGAGGCGGGGGCGGCGAGGGGGCGCCCCGGGCAGACGCGGCCCCCUGGGGGUCGUGCCCCUCGCCCCUUCCGCCGCCGGCCCGGCCGACCCCCGCCGCGGGGCGUGUGUGCGCGCGGGGAGAGACUGCAGAGGCCGGGUGACUCGUGCUGAAGGAGAAAGGCAACAAAAAAUAAAAAAGGAACAGAUGACUUCAUUCUCGGGAAGGCUCCGUCCUACGUGGACCAAUUUCCUGGGGACAGCUCGGCUGCCGUUGGAAGCACUUAAAACUAAACCAGAUAAAGACCAGAAAAUUCUCAGCAUUGCCUGAGCCGAUCAAGGGCAGGGACAAACCCGGCAGAGGCUGGGGAACGAAAGCCAGUGGCUGGCCUGGGAGCCUUGGAAGAGGGACACAAGGCUUGGGAUUUGGUCACCGCAGCCUCUCCUGGUCUCUUGGCUUUAGAUGAUCGACCAGGGCUUUUCCAGGCCCAGGAUCGCCUCUCCAGACUCCCCGGGAGUCUAAAGGGACAAGCCGGUUCCCGACUAAGGCAAGAUAAAGUUAUCUUCAGCUCCGUUCCCAGCAACCACCAGUUCUCAGCUUUGGAGCCCUUCCUGAAUGCAUGAAUCAAAAGCCUUGGGCUCCAAGAAAAGAGAGUUACCCCCCCCCCCCCACUCCCCAGUCCUUCCCCAGUCCUUUACUGCCAGCUCCAUGAUAUGGGAAGGUAGCACCGCCCUCCACUCCUCCCCCUGGGCUGGCCUUCCAAGCAAAACUCAUCUCUGGCCACAGGUUUAGAGUUUAGCUGAUGUGAGAGUCCUGCCCCUGGGCAGUGUGUGAAUAGGACUGAGAUGACAGAUGACACCCAGCAUCAUCCAGAGGUAGGAGGACCUUGGAGAUUAUGCAGACCAACCACUCCUGCGUCCCUGUUUUACAGGUGGGCAAACUGAGGCCCAGAGAAGGGAAGAGACCUGACUGAGAUCUGCCACUGGUUAGAGGUGUUCUUGCCUUCCAUUAGGGUGCUUCACUACCCCACUCUGAUCCUUCUGUGGAAUUAUCUGUACGGAUCAGAAGUUCAGGAGCUGGGGGGCAGGAGGCUCUGAAGUCAGACUGCCUAAGUUCAAGUACUUACUUCUAAGUGAGACCUGGGACAAAUGAAUUUUUCUCUCUGAGCCCCCACGGUCUUGUGUGUUAAGUGGGGAUGAUGGUACCAGCCCUGGGUUGUCUUAAGGAAUAAAGGUGGUCCAGGAAAAGUCCUGGGAC